This is a long non-coding RNA of Solanum dulcamara, 3945 nucleotides long. RefSeq lists it as uncharacterized. The record is from RefSeq and is a predicted model, not a curated record. The transcript is spliced from 3 exons. Lineage: Eukaryota; Viridiplantae; Streptophyta; Magnoliopsida; Solanales; Solanaceae.
UGUCACUUUUAACAUAUCAAGAAAAGACAAUUAUCUUUUUCCACGUUUUACCUUAAGCAUUAAUUACUUAUUUCCCAAAUCAUUUCCGAGACCUAUUACUAAACAUGAAGUAAUAGGGAUAGUUAGUACAAUAGUCAUGUCAAUCAUUAUUUUUUAAUGGGUGUGCCAAGUCCAAAUGUGACAAGUAAAAGUGAACGGAGGGAGUAGCAUUUAAAAAAUAAAUCUAAAAAAUUUUAUGAGAAAAUUUAAUUUUUAAAAAUAAAUAAAACUAUAUUUCUAUUUCUUCUUUCCAGCUUAAAACUGAAAACCAAACCAAAAAGGAAUUUUUUGAGAAAUGAAAACUGAAAUCAGUUGAAAUACCAUACAAACCAAACAUUAAAUUGAAAUUUUUGACCUGUUGGUUUUCCAGUUAAACCGUAUAAUGCCACGCCCCUAGGCAAAUAGGGUGCUGCUAGUGGCUUGUGCUUAUUUCACUGUGAUCUUUGUUUGAGUUUAUGCAUGCGAAUAGGGCUUGAAACCACAAUUUAUGGUAGAACUGUUUUGUUUUAUCAUGCAGUAAGUACUAUGAUGGUAUGAUUGACUGGAUCAUUUUAAUCUAAUACAAGUUCUCUAAUUAAGUUGAAUUUAGAGUUGCAUAAUUACAUAUAAAGGAUUAAAUGAGUUUUUGAUGUAAUGACAAGGACUAAUUUUUUUUAAAAAAAUCAUUUUUCAUGAAUAGAGACCAGUAUGUUGAAUCUUCGCAUUUGUUAAGAGAUACAACUCUGUUUAUCGUUCUUGAUUCUCUUUCUAUAUCAAUAGUUGAUCAAUCAAGUAUACCUCAAUCCUAGAUUUGUUGGAGUAGGUGCUAUGGAUCCUCCAUAUCCAAUUUUCUCUAUAGAAGUCCAUUUCAUUUCAAUUGAAUAAUUGCCUUCUAGUGCAAAAUAGGGAUUCUCUAAAUCUAUACAUAUCUCAAACAACUUUCCCCCAUGUGUAGAUCUACCCCAUCCCCUUUUAUCGCCUUCCAUCAUCCUAUUCACACCUAUGAAUCGGUGCAUCUGGGAAUCUAUGUUUGACACAGCCAAUCUUAGGUGACCUUCUAUUAUCUAUAGUCCUUCAAUCAACUACACCUAAAUCAAAAACAACCUUCAAUAGUCUUUAAGGAAAUUUAUUUAAUGCAGAAAGUAUUGUUAUCAGUUCCUAGCUGGCUAAUUGAACAUCUGCCAGUCUUGCUUUUUUGUCGUUAGUGCAUGGUGCUGAUAAGUAUUUGUUGUAUCUGGAAAGAGAUCUGCCAGCAGUUCUACUUUUCACUCCAACUUUCUUCUUUUUAUCUUUGUCUGAGCCGUGGGGUGGGGUUGGUUUCCAAUAACGCUUUGAGGUAGUGGCAACAAGCUUCACCUUGAAGCAACGUUUGGUUUCCUGCAACUUAUGGAUCCCAAAACCAAAGGUCUGUGAUAUCAGUCACACCUCACUAUCUUCUAUUCUUGAAGUAAUUGUCUUCCUUUAAUAUUUAAUGUAUCUCCAUCUUUUUCCCCUCAUUAAUUUCUUGGCAUAAGUAAGGCUACUUUGUGAUAUAGAUUGUUUUGGAAAUGGAUGACUAGAUGACUCUUCAAACUUCUCUUAUGUGUCUCUAAAUCAUUCCCCUUUGGAAUGGAUGAUCUUCUUAGAUGCCAAAAGUGGUGUUUGUGUAACUCUAUCAGAGUCAUCCUUUCGUUCCUGCAACUUAUAAAAACCUCAGAAGCAAAUAUCUGUCAAGAAGGCGGUGGGGGUGAUGUGGCAGGUGAGAAGGGGGUGGUAGAGGAGGAGGAGGCAUCCUGGAAUGGAACUAGUUAGAGUUGGCAGAUGAGCUGGUAGAAGCAAAAAAUGAGGAGAAGACAAAGAAAAUGAAAAUUUUACUCCAUCAUACAGACUCUUUUUUCUCACAGAAGGGGAAAGUUGUAGGGGAACUGCCCCACCCAAAAAAUAAAAUAAAAAAUAAAAAAAUAAAAAAUAAAAUCAGGUGUUGUGUUGGGUUAGGCUGAAUUGUGAAUCCAAGGAUUAGUGAAUAACUGGGUGAGAUUUAAAGUUUUGCCUACGUAUCUCUCCUUUGAGACUAUAGCAGGCAUGAUCAUCUUGCUGCCAUGAGUAUUACUUUGACAGAGUAUUCACCAUGUGUUCAUUACGGAACAAGUUUCUUUACAGUUUUGCUUGCUCGGUUUUUAAAUUUCUUCUGUUCAACUUCCCAUAAGUGUCUCUCUGUUGCACUCCCAUUUUACAAUGGUCAUAUCUUAAUGCUAUAACUACUUUCUUGUAUAUAAUUACUUUGAUAUAGUAUUCAUCAAAUGCUUGUUGUGGGAAAGCUUCAAUAAUAUGGAUCAGCUACUUGUAUCGUUAGAAGUUAUUCAGUUUGACAACACUGACAUUUUAUUUCUUAAUUUUCUAUUUUGAGUCGAAGCAAGAAUUUGUCUUUAGACUUGAACACGUGCACAAGCCUGAAAUAAAUCACUUGAUGCUGAUUAAAGUGAGAUCUAAUAUUGAUAAAACUGUUCUCAACCUAGAAGCAAGUUACAUCCAUCUGAUUUCACACAAGGAAAAGAAGGAAUAUGAUUUUAUCCAUCAGAUGCAUCAGCUCUGAUUUGGUACUGCAAAUAUUAAUUUAGUAUCUCCUUGAAUAGGACUAAAUUAUGGCAGCAUUAUUCUGGAUGAUCACAAUAGCUGUGACAUUAUUUAUUCCCUGAAUCUUUCUCUUCCCAUUUUCCCAGAAGGCAUGUAGGAAAAUCUUUUUGGGGUUCAAUUGCAAGUUACCAUUGGGAGAAAACUAUAUUUGAAUUCUUGAUGUACAGAGAAUGGAAGGCCAAGUCAAAACUUAGAAGGAAGUUUGGAUCACGAUGGGCAUCAUCUUGCCAUAACAGCAGCUGAUGCAGAAUCUGUAAAUGAGGUUUCACCUCGGAGUUGCAGAGAGGUGCCUGGGAAUGGUUGGUCUUUGCAUUUUAAUUCAGUUGAGCAGAGUCACUCGUUUAAGGAUAGGAUUAUCUCAGUCAAGUGGGGAGAUAAAACCAAAAAAAUUGGUAUUGAUGGCACAGCAGAAACCAUCAAGGAAGCUAUUAAAUCUUUUUUCAUGUUGAGGAAAAAACGUCCAUUUUGGUUGGAAGAUGAAAAUAGUAUUGUUCGAGCAGUUGAUAGAGAUAUGCCAUUGAGAAACUACACUCUACAUGUUGAUGAAGGCUUGAAAAUAAAAGUCUGCAUGUCUGAGGAGGCCGAUGACUUGCCAGUUCAAACAGAGGAUAAAACCUUUUAUUCUGAGGAUGAUUUUAAUGACUUCUUGUCCCACCGAAGUUGGACAUGUUUAAGAGAGAAUAAUGGGUAUCAGAAUAUUGAUAGGAUGGAUGAGCUUUGCCCUGGUGCAGUCUACCGUGGAGUCAAUUAAGUGUAAGAAGUGCCUCAUCCUCUAGUGUAACUUUUUGCUCAAAGCUCAUUUUGUUGGGUUAAGCUGUUUUUUCCAAAUAUUCAGUGUUUGCAUAAUUUGGGUUCAGGAGUAAGAACAGCAGUCAGCAAUACCCAAGUGUGGGAAAUGGUUGGCGGUAAGGUGUUGUGCUAAAGAAAUUGAAGAUGUUUUGUAGUAAAAGCCACAGCUGUUCAUGUUCUAAACUAUAGGUGUUUAUCUUUUGGCACUCUGGUGAACGUUAGAAAAUGUUUGUCUACAAGUGACAUUCCAAUUGCAAAAGCAUUUUGUUUGCUGUUAUUAUUCAAAAAAAAAACAUUUUGUUUGCUGUUUUUAUUUCAAAGCUGACGAAUUAAGCAGCUUUAAAAUGAGGCAGGAGAGUUGUGCAUGCCUUCUGCCGUUGUAUGUUAGAUAGGUCUUUAUUCUCCUACUUGUAAGCUUUAUAUAGUAUCACUAUCUGUGUAAGGUGUUGUUUGGUUUAAAGACAAGUCAUGCUAAGAUUAGUUAUUCUGGUAUUAUUUUUUAUUGAUUUGUUGAAUUAAAGUGAA